CAGGUCACGAGUAAAGCUCGUAGUUGGAUUUCUGGGGUAGUCUGCGGUUCAGCAAUGGAUCGUAGACCAUACCCAUCCUUCUGUUAACAUGUGUUGGCAUUCGUGCUGGACAUGGGCUCAGAUAUUUACCUUGAGAAAAUAGAGUGUUCAGGCAGGCUUGGCCGGAAUACAAAAGCAUGGAAUAAUGGAAUGACAUAACUCUGUGGUUGGCCAGAGAAGUGUAUGAUUAAUAGGAACGGUUGGGGCAUUAGUAUUAAUGUCAGAGGUGAAUCUGGUUUGUAAAGACACUAGGAAGCUUGC
RNAcentral lists this ribosomal RNA (300 nucleotides) under uncultured eukaryote. RNAcentral describes it as "bacterial SSU rRNA". It matches the Rfam family "Eukaryotic small subunit ribosomal RNA", at positions 623 to 940 of the family's 1831-position model. The record is from RNAcentral.